GGUGUGACUGCGUACCUUUUGUAUAAUGGGUCAGCGACUUAUAUUCUGUAGCAAGGUUAACCGUAUAGGGGAGCCGCAGGGAAACCGAGUCUUAACUGGGCGUUAAGUUGCAGGGUAUAGACCCGAAACCCGGUGAUCUAGCCAUGGGCAGGUUGAAGGUUGGGUAACACUAACUGGAGGACCGAACCGACUAAUGUUGAAAAAUUAGCGGAUGACUUGUGGCUGGGGGUGAAAGGCCAAUCAAACCGGGAGAUAGCUGGUUCUCCCCGAAAGCUAUUUAGGUAGCGCCUCGUGAACUCAUCUUCGGGGGUAGAGCACUGUUUCGGCUAGGGGGUCAUCCCGACUUACCAACCCGAUGCAAACUACGAAUACCGAAGAAUGUUAUCACGGGAGACACACGGCGGGUGCUAACGUCCGUCGUGAAGAGGGAAACAACCCAGACCGCCAGCUAAGGUCCCAAAGUCAUGGUUAAGUGGGAAACGAUGUGGGAAGGCACAGACAGCCAGGAUGUUGGCUUAGAAGCAGCCAUCAUUUAAAGAAAGCGUAAUAGCUCACUGGUCGAGUCGGCCUGCGCGGAAGAUGUAACGGGGCUAAACCAUGCACCGAAGCUGCGGCAGCGACACUAUGUGUUGUUGGGUAGGGGAGCGUUCUGUAAGCCUGCGAAGGUGGCCUGUGAGGG
RNAcentral lists this ribosomal RNA (679 nucleotides) under Klebsiella variicola. RNAcentral's name for it is "partial 23S ribosomal RNA". It matches the Rfam family "Bacterial large subunit ribosomal RNA", at positions 590 to 1269 of the family's 2925-position model. Lineage: Bacteria; Pseudomonadati; Pseudomonadota; Gammaproteobacteria; Enterobacterales; Enterobacteriaceae. The record is from RNAcentral.